ACUACUACAUGCAAGUCGAACGCUUUUUCUUUCCCGGCGCUUGCUCCACCGAAAGAAAAAGAGUGGCGAACGGGUGAGUAACACGUGGGUAACCUGCCCAUCAGAAGGGGAUAACACUUGGAAACAGGUGCUAAUACCGUAUAACACUAUUUUCCGCAUGGAAGAAAGUUGAAAGGCGCUUUUGCGUCACUGAUGGAUGGACCCGCGGUGCAUUAGCUAGUUGGUGAGGUAACGGCUCACCAAGGCAACGAUGCAUAGCCGACCUGAGAGGGUGAUCGGCCACACUGGGACUGAGACACGGCCCAGACUCCUACGGGAGGCAGCAGUAGGGAAUCUUCGGCAAUGGACGAAAGUCUGACCGAGCAACGCCGCGUGAGUGAAGAAGGUUUUCGGAUCGUAAAACUCUGUUGUUAGAGAAGAACAAGGAUGAGAGUAAAAUGUUCAUCCCUUGACGGUAUCUAACCAGAAAGCCACGGCUAACUACGUGCCAGCAGCCGCGGUAAUACGUAGGUGGCAAGCGUUGUCCGGAUUUAUUGGGCGUAAAGCGAGCGCAGGCGGUUUCUUAAGUCUGAUGUGAAAGCCCCCGGCUCAACCGGGGAGGGUCAUUGGAAACUGGGAGACUUGAGUGCAGAAAGAGGAGAGUGGAAAUUCCAUGUGUAGCGGUGAAAUGCGUAGAAUAUAUGGAGGAACACCAGUGGCGAAGGCGGCUCUCUGGUCUGUAACUGACGCUGAGGCUCGAAAGCGUGGGGAGCGAACAGGAUUAGAUACCCUGGUAGUCCACGCCGUAAACGAUGAGUGCUAAGUGUUGGAAGG
This 813-nucleotide ribosomal RNA is filed under the name Enterococcus casseliflavus. Its description in RNAcentral is "bacterial SSU rRNA". It matches the Rfam family "Bacterial small subunit ribosomal RNA", at positions 47 to 830 of the family's 1533-position model. Lineage: Bacteria; Bacillati; Bacillota; Bacilli; Lactobacillales; Enterococcaceae. The record is from RNAcentral.